Molecule: ribosomal RNA, 486 nt
Filed under: uncultured bacterium
Lineage: Bacteria
Description: partial 16S ribosomal RNA
Rfam family: Bacterial small subunit ribosomal RNA
Source: RNAcentral
GACGAACGCUGGCGGCGUGCCUAACACAUGCAAGUCGAACGGGAUCCCAAGGCUUUUUGUUUUUUGUGGGUGUGGCGAACGGGUUAGUUACACCUUAGUUACCUUCCCCCUUCUUUUGGGUAACCGCAUGAAAGUGUGGCUAAUUCAGGAUAUUUCAGUCUGGUCGCAUGAUUGGUUUGGGAAAUGGUUUUUUCUUGUGGGUGAUGGGCUCGUCGCCUAUCAGCUUGUUUGUUGGGUGAUUGCCUACCUACGCGGUGACGGGUAGCCGGCCGGCGAGGGUGGGAGGUCAAACGAGAACUGAGAUACGGCCCAGAGUCAUACGGGAGGAAGCAGUGGGGGAUUUUGCACAAUGGGCGGAAGCAGGAAGCAGGGACGCGGCGUGAGGGAUGAAGGACUUCGGGAUGUAAACAUCAGUCGAGGGGAUGAAAGGCCAUGAUUUGGGUGUGGUUGAUUUGAACUGGUAAAGAAGUAACGGCUAACUACGUG